RNAcentral lists this ribosomal RNA (142 nucleotides) under Burkholderia cepacia. RNAcentral's name for it is "partial 16S ribosomal RNA". It matches the Rfam family "Bacterial small subunit ribosomal RNA", at positions 1392 to 1533 of the family's 1533-position model. Lineage: Bacteria; Pseudomonadati; Pseudomonadota; Betaproteobacteria; Burkholderiales; Burkholderiaceae. RNAcentral also lists the same sequence under 3 other names. The record is from RNAcentral.
GCCCGUCACACCAUGGGAGUGGGUUUUACCAGAAGUGGCUAGUCUAACCGCAAGGAGGACGGUCACCACGGUAGGAUUCAUGACUGGGGUGAAGUCGUAACAAGGUAGCCGUAUCGGAAGGUGCGGCUGGAUCACCUCCUUU